Columba livia (rock pigeon) is the source of this 3050-nucleotide long non-coding RNA. RefSeq lists it as uncharacterized. NCBI's taxonomy places the organism in Eukaryota, Metazoa, Chordata, Aves, Columbiformes, Columbidae. The transcript is spliced from 4 exons. The record is from RefSeq and is a predicted model, not a curated record.
CUGCUAAAGGCAGUUUCCAGGCUUGGAGGAGCUGGUGGCAGCUUUUUGCACCUGAAUCCCUUUGACCUCUGUGAGGGCUUUAUAGGAUACUGUUUGAAGAGAGUUUAGGGUAUGUUUGAGCUGCUUGGCCCGGUUAUUCCUGAGCUGCUCCUCCCACCUACGGUUUGAGCUCUGCAACAGCAUUGCGCUCCAGCAGCAGCCUCAGCAAGAAUUAGGGCUCAAAUUGCAGCUGCUGCACCAAGCCAAGCCUCAAAGCGGCUUUCUGCCAGCAUCCUGCCAAAAAACAUUCCAUGGGAAUUUAAGUACCCCUGUGUCCACAGGACAGCUGGGCAGCGAUCUGUGCCCCCCGAUUACCCUGCCAGGAAUAAACUCUCACCCUGCUAAUGGCAAUCACAGCCGCUUGCCCAUGGGAUGGGGAUCGUGCCAGGACACAUCACCUGACGCAGCUAUUAAAGUCCAUGGGAUGAAAGCUCUACUUCCAAUAUCAAACAUAUCCAUAUAAAAUAAAACAUAUUUUAUUGCCCUAGUUGGGAAGGAUGGGCUAUGAAUAUUUAAUAGCGAUAAUAAGGAGGCAGAAGACAUCUCUAAAGGCAAUGGAUGCCCAACUUGCUGCCUCAUAAGAAUUCUCCGUUUCGUUUUUGUCUUUGAAGAGAAACAAUUUUUCCUUAUUUUUGUCUGUAUUCGGUGUAAUCAGAUCACUCUCACCACUGAAGCUUAUUUCCUGCUGUUGGGCCAGAAGGGCAAGUGGACAGAAAGCUGACAAGACACACGAGGGCAUUUGGAAGCGACUUUCACCAGUGGUGGUUAGGUCCUGAUCUCACAGGUGCUGGCCCUGGCCACAGCGAUGCUCCCGGAGCACUCGCUCCUCCUGCAUUUUGUGCUCAUCCCUUCUGGAAAUCCAAAAGUGCCCUGAGCAUCAUCCGAGACCAGAGCACGUUACUGAGGAGUGACAGGGACCUGAACUCAGCAGCAGCCCCUGUCACCUGUUAAGUUUUCACAUGGUGGGUGCAUUAUUUUUCUAGCAACUUCAUAAUCUGUUUGGCGCAGGAGGAGAGCCCAUCCCGCCCUUGAGCUGAGCUUUUCGGGGCUAUUCUCCAGCAUUAAAUAUGGAAAAUUCUGACAGUCAGUCCUGGCCAUUUUCAAGCUGUUUGGGAUAUUUUAACUUUCAAAACAAAGAUGAAUUAAACUGGUUACUUUACAGCAGAUUCUAGCUGGGAAAAAACAAAUCGUCAUGCCAGGUCCAUGAUGAAGGUACCUGGCAGCUCCUGGCGCAGCAGAGCUGCCAUCGCGGAGAGCGAGACCCUGCCGACUAUCAGAGAAAUGGUGACCUGUGGCUUUUGAAAAAGCUCACUUCGAUCCUAAUCUGGGCUCUACAACCACACACUGUAACAGGAACGAUAACCAGGCAGCGUGAUCCCAUUAGCUCCGGUUGUGUUUGUGCUUGUUCCACUUAAUCAGAGCAGUUUUGUUGUGUCAGUCCAGUGUAAUGGAUGUGUUAUCACAUAAAAAAAAGCAACUCUGAAACAACAGGUGAGGAUGGAUUUUUGAAAUACAAGUGUUAGUCAUACCCUGCUUUGCUUAACUUACUCUAGCAAAGAAAACAGAGCAGAGGUUUUCAAAUAGUUGCAGCUUUACUGUGAGAAACAAUUUGCUUGUCCAACACAGUAUUAACUACCAGCACUGCAGCUACUUUUAAAAAGCAUUAACAAUCUUUUGGAUUUCCAGAAAAGGAAGGACAUUGCCACCUUCAAUUGUUGCUUAAACACUGUCUGUUUUUUCUUGAACAGAAGUUCCGAGGCAGCACUCUGGUGUUAUCCAGUGGCAGGACUUCAGGUGUUUUAAGUUCUUUCCACAGAGGUGCAUGAGGCACAACAUAAACGAGCUAGGAAAUACUCCACAGCCUUGCAGCCCGUCACAGACCCUGCUCCCUCCCCUUCACAAGCUCAGAAACAUCAAAAUUCAACAAACCAACACGGCAGAGGUCACACAAGUAGCUGCUGUUCCACUGCUGCUUCCUCCCAUCGCCCUUGGCCACAACUUCAGGAACAGCUGCUGAAGCAAAUUGAAAAAUUACAAAUGAGACCCCAGGGCUUCUGACAAUUCGUCUCCUCUUCUCUACUUUUCAUCUAAAUUCAGGUACCACAAGCACUUGUCACGUGACUGUUAAUACAUUGCUUUGUGCUUCGGCAACUCUCUAAACAAUCUGUCUCAAAGGUUUGCUAGCAAAAACAAUGCUGAAAUAAUAACAAAAUCAUGUAAUUAAACAAUUUAGUAGGCAUGCUUCAGCCAGAGCCAAUGCGAUCAAGCACAAAGUUCAAUAUCAGAGCCUACACCCAGCCCUGUUCUACAAUAUUAAACAAAUACGGCAUUACUAACCCCGGAGUUCACCACUGCACAGGAACCUGGGAGCAAGUGUUGUAAUUAAUCCUGUGCAGAGUACUCUACGGGCUUGACAGAACAUGGUACUGAAAUGCAACAGUUACUGCGACUGCAGCCUCACAAAUGUCACUUUUUCUUGGUGAAAAUUGAUCUAAUUUAUCUUGCUAGUACAUGAACAAAAUAACUCGUUUACAGGAUCUGGAGUGUUUGUGUUUCAAUGAAGAACCUGCUUCUUGUACUAAAGAAAUAAUCCCAGAAAUCAAAUUAAAGAAUCAUAAAAUACACCAUCAUCACAAAAGUAGAAACAUCUGUAUGGAUUUAAUGGGGUUCAGUCACUGUCACCAUUAAAGCACAUCUCGCUGCUCCCUUUGUUUCCACCAGGUGCGGGCAAUGAAAUUCAUCUCUACUUCCUUUCUUGUCCAUCUAAUAUGAACCUGGCUAAUGAAUCUCUGCUCAUUAUACUCCAGUUUGACUUGUGGUUAUACACAGGAAUACUAUAACCAGUUAAUGAUUUAGAUACAUCACACAAAAAUAAAAUCUUUAUUAAAAUUUGUAAAGAUGUUUUUAAUUAAUUUUUAUUAAAUAUUAUAGAGUUAGCUCCUCAUAAAUUAUUUGUGAAAAUAAAUUGUUUAAAAAAUACUGAUGUAACUGUCUUACAUACGUCUUGGGCG